Molecule: long non-coding RNA, 611 nt
Organism: Thalassophryne amazonica
Lineage: Eukaryota; Metazoa; Chordata; Actinopteri; Batrachoidiformes; Batrachoididae
Exons: 4
Source: RefSeq, a predicted model, not a curated record
UGCUGUCUCGCGAGAAUAUUUGUCCUUUCGUCUGUUCAAUCGUCGGUGUACUGCAGUAGAAAUUAUGUCUUAUCAACAGGUUUCUCAUAUGUUAAAGUAUUUAUAUAGGAAUGCGGCCGAAAACAACCGCCUAGAACCCGCGGCAGUUCAUCCACUAUGAAAGCGGUUGCGGUUCUUCCUUUCCGGCUGUGUACUUCGCUGACUUGGAGAAAUGAGGUCAAAUGGUGAUUAAGAGAGAGAGAGAGGCACAGAAGCUCUGAGAUGACCUCAACAGGUGAAGUGAAUGAUGACAUGGAUGCAGAACCAACUGACAGCUGGUCCAGAACCCUGAAGCUUUGUGUGCUUUGAUUUUCUGUUUGAUGCAUGAUAUAUAUUUUAAUAUUAACACCAGUCUUGCCUUAAAUUUAUCUAUUUUACAUUCAGUAUCUUUAACUUCUGUUGUUAUUGCAAAUACAUUAUUUUGUAUUCAUAUUUGUCUUACAAUAGCUACACAAUAUCACCAUUUCCCUCAAAUAUUGUUCACAAACCAUUCUAAAUCUGUGAUAGUGAGCACUUCUCCUUUGCUGAGAUAAUCCAUCCCACCUCACAGGUGUGCCAUAUCAAGAUGCUGA